RNAcentral lists this ribosomal RNA (542 nucleotides) under uncultured fungus. Its description in RNAcentral is "eukaryotic LSU rRNA". The stretch from base 196 to 349 matches the Rfam family "5.8S ribosomal RNA". The record is from RNAcentral. Lineage: Eukaryota; Fungi.
AAGGAUCAUUACCAAUAUGAAAGCGGUUGGGGAACCACAGGGACAAGAGCUUCGGCUUGCGUUUCUGCCCCAGCUGUCUGAAUAUUCACCCAUGUCUUUUGCGUACUAUUUGUUUCCUUGGUGGGCUUGCCCACCGAUAGGACAAAAUUAAACCUUUUGUAAUUGCAGUCAGCGUCAGAAAAACUUAAUAGUUACAACUUUCAACAACGGAUCUCUUGGUUCUGGCAUCGAUGAAGAACGCAGCGAAAUGCGAUAAGUAGUGUGAAUUGCAGAAUUCAGUGAAUCAUCGAAUCUUUGAACGCACAUUGCGCCCCUUGGUAUUCCAUGGGGCAUGCCUGUUCGAGCGUCAUUUGUACCCUCAAGCUCUGCUUGGUGUUGGGUGUUUGUCCUCCCUGGAGGACUCGCCUCAAAACAAUUGGCAGCCGGCAUAUUGGUAUCGGAGCGCAGCACAAGUCGCACUUCUUUCCAUGAAUGUCAGCAUCCAUCAAGACUAUUUUUCAACUUUUGACCUCGGAUCAGGUAGGGAUACCCGCUGAACUUAA